This is a small nucleolar RNA of Penicillium flavigenum, 76 nucleotides long. It matches the Rfam family "A. fimigatus snoRNA Afu_199". NCBI's taxonomy places the organism in Eukaryota, Fungi, Ascomycota, Eurotiomycetes, Eurotiales, Aspergillaceae. The record is from Rfam.
UCGCAUGACGAGGAAAUAGCUCUAGAUCAGGAGUCACUUUUGUGACAAUGACGGAUUAACAUGUAUUAUCUGAUUG